This is a long non-coding RNA of Pipra filicauda (Wire-tailed manakin), 354 nucleotides long. RefSeq lists it as uncharacterized. Lineage: Eukaryota; Metazoa; Chordata; Aves; Passeriformes; Pipridae. The transcript has 3 exons. The record is from RefSeq and is a predicted model, not a curated record.
CCAAUGAAGUCAUAGCAGUCUUUCCACUGACCCCAGUGAACACGGCUGUCAGCAACAGUACCUGCCUCACAUGCUGCUGCCAGCAGGAAGGGCCUUUGGGGACACUUCAGCCGGGCAAAAACUGUCUUUGUGGCUACUGAACUACGUCACUCUGAAUGGCUUCAUCAGCUGCUGCCGGCUACACCCAGACGAGCCAAACACCACCCGGAAAACUGCAUUCUGGAAGUGUCUGUGUGUGACUCACGGCUGCCCUGCCCACUUGAUAUGAAUAUCAAAGGAGUCCAGAACCACCUGAAUUUCAACAAGGGGAAGUGCUGGAUGGGGAAACCCUGGAUGUACAGCCAGCCUGGGGAA